This 522-nucleotide long non-coding RNA is filed under the name Fukomys damarensis (Damara mole-rat). RNAcentral's name for it is "lncRNA (ENSFDAG00000022110.1)". Lineage: Eukaryota; Metazoa; Chordata; Mammalia; Rodentia; Bathyergidae. The record is from RNAcentral.
UGUUUUGAAAAGAUCUCUCUUCUUAGCCAACUAUUGCGAUCUUAUUAUUCAGGCUACCCUUGUCUCCUCCUUAAGAAGCUUAGAUAGAUCUUCCAAUAACAGUUGAAAUUGUCUUCCUCAUUUAUUGCUUGCCUUUCAGAAAUGGAAAGCACAAGAUUUCCUUAGAAAACCAGGCCUUUUCCUCCACGCUGCACCCCGCUCCAGCCCUACCCUUGAAGACAACAUCUUCAAGUUGCCAUAGACCAACUAUACCCACUCUGGGCCUGCGCCCUGACUCGAUCCGACCCAGUCGUGAUAACCUCUUGCUAUGUCCACUGUUGAUGCUGUGACCUAAAUGUCACCUACAAUAGUCCAUUUGCUGGUAAGUUGGAAAUUGAAAAGAAAUCUCUUUCUUUCCCUGGCAGCUAAAGCUAUAACAUGUAUAACCUGGGAAUUGCCAGUGACCACGUGAAAUGUGCAGCACAAAGAGUGUGUUAAUGACAUAGAAAGAACCAAAGGAAAUAAAUGAAUAAAAUAUCACAG